GUUGUAUAGUCAAGUAAUUAAGUGCAUGUGGUGGAUGCCUUGGCAGUCAGAGGCGAUGAAAGACGUGAUAGCCUGCGAAAAGCUCCGGGGAGGCGGCAAAUAUCCUUUGAUCCGGAGAUGUCUGAAUGGGGGAACCCACCUACUUUAAGGUAGGUAUUGCAACAUGAAUACAUAGUGUUGCAAGGCGAACGAGGGGGAAGUGAAACAUCUCAGUACCCUUAGGAAAAGAAAUCAAUUGAGAUUCCCUCAGUAGCGGCGAGCGAACGGGGAUCAGCCCAUUAAGUUAUGUGUGUUUUAGUGGAACGCUCUGGGAAGUGCGAACGUAGAGGGUGAUAUUCCCGUACACGAAAGGGCACACAUAAUGAUGACGAGUAGGGCGAGGCACGUGAAACCUUGUCUGAAUAUGGGGGGACCAUCCUCCAAGGCUAAAUACUCCUGACUGACCGAUAGUGAACCAGUACCGUGAGGGAAAGGCGAAAAGAACCCCUGUGAGGGGAGUGAAAUAGAUCCUGAAACCGCAUGCAUACAAGCAGUGGGAGCACCUUCGUGGUGUGACUGCGUACCUUUUGUAUAAUGGGUCAGCGACUUAUAUUCAGUAGCGAGGUUAACCGUAUAGGGGAGCCGUAGAGAAAUCGAGUCUUAAUAGGGCGUUUAGUUGCUGGGUAUAGACCCG
This 673-nucleotide ribosomal RNA is filed under the name Acinetobacter baumannii. Its description in RNAcentral is "partial 23S ribosomal RNA". It matches the Rfam family "Bacterial large subunit ribosomal RNA", at positions 1 to 717 of the family's 2925-position model. The record is from RNAcentral. Lineage: Bacteria; Pseudomonadati; Pseudomonadota; Gammaproteobacteria; Moraxellales; Moraxellaceae.